This 254-nucleotide ribosomal RNA is filed under the name uncultured bacterium. Its description in RNAcentral is "partial 16S ribosomal RNA". It matches the Rfam family "Bacterial small subunit ribosomal RNA", at positions 1246 to 1500 of the family's 1533-position model. The record is from RNAcentral.
GAAGCGAGACGGAGACGUUAAGCGAAACCCAAAAAAGUAAGUCUCAGUUCGGAUUGAAGGCUGAAAUUCGCCUUCAUGAAGCCGGAAUUGCUAGUAAUGGCAGGUCAGCAUACUGCCGUGAAUACGUUCCCGGGCCUUGUACACACCGCCCGUCACACCAUGAGAGUUGGGAAUACCCGAAGCCUGUGAGCUAACGUAAGAGGCAGCAGUCGAAGGUAGAAUCAAUGAUUGGGGUGAAGUCGUAACAAGGUAAC